GACGAACGCUGGCGGCGUGCUUAACACAUGCAAGUCGAACGGAAAGGCCCUGCUUUUGUGGGGUGCUCGAGUGGCGAACGGGUGAGUAACACGUGAGUAACCUGCCCUUGACUUUGGGAUAACUUCAGGAAACUGGGGCUAAUACCGGAUAGGAGCUCCUGCUGCAUGGUGGGGGUUGGAAAGUUUCGGCGGUUGGGGAUGGACUCGCGGCUUAUCCGCUUGUUGGUGGGGUAGUGGCCUACCAAGGCUUUGACGGGUAGCCGGCCUGAGAGGGUGACCGGCCACAUUGGGACUGAGAUACGGCCCAGACUCCUACGGGAGGCAGCAGUGGGGAAUAUUGCACAAUGGGCGGAAGCCUGAUGCAGCAACGCCGCGUGCGGGAUGACGGCCUUCGGGUUGUAAACCGCUUUCGCCUGUGACGAAGCGUGGGUGACGGUAAUGGGUAAAGAAGCACCGGCUAACUACGUG
RNAcentral lists this ribosomal RNA (468 nucleotides) under uncultured bacterium. RNAcentral's name for it is "partial 16S ribosomal RNA". It matches the Rfam family "Bacterial small subunit ribosomal RNA", at positions 28 to 507 of the family's 1533-position model. The record is from RNAcentral.